AGUGAACGCUGGCGGUAGGCCUAACACAUGCAAGUCGAACGGCAGCACAGUAAGAGCUUGCUCUUACGGGUGGCGAGUGGCGGACGGGUGAGGAAUACAUCGGAAUCUACUUUUUCGUGGGGGAUAACGUAGGGAAACUUACGCUAAUACCGCAUACGACCUACGGGUGAAAGCAGGGGAUCUUCGGACCUUUCGCGAUUGAAUGAGCCGAUGUCGGAUUAGCUAGUUGGCGGGGUAAAGGCCCACCAAGGCGACGAUCCGUAGCUGGUCUGAGAGGAUGAUCAGCCACACUGGAACUGAGACACGGUCCAGACUCCUACGGGAGGCAGCAGUGGGGAAUAUUGGACAAUGGGCGCAAGCCUGAUCCAGCCAUACCGCGUGGGUGAAGAAGGCCUUCGGGUUGUAAAGCCCUUUUGUUGGGAAAGAAAAGAAGCAGGUUAAUACCCCGCUGUUCUGACGGUACCCAAAGAAUAAGCACCGGCUAACUUCGUG
RNAcentral lists this ribosomal RNA (492 nucleotides) under uncultured bacterium. Its description in RNAcentral is "partial 16S ribosomal RNA". It matches the Rfam family "Bacterial small subunit ribosomal RNA", at positions 29 to 507 of the family's 1533-position model. The record is from RNAcentral.